Regulatory RNA element from Trichomalopsis sarcophagae, 116 nucleotides. It matches the Rfam family "Potassium channel RNA editing signal". Rfam says of the family: This family represents a group of sequences related to the human potassium channel Kv1.1 hairpin element which directs the efficient modification of an adenosine to inosine by an adenosine deaminase acting on RNA (ADAR). The ADAR modification causes an isoleucine/valine recoding event which lies in the ion-conducting pore of the potassium channel. The record is from Rfam. Lineage: Eukaryota; Metazoa; Arthropoda; Insecta; Hymenoptera; Pteromalidae.
UUCGCAGAUACGGCGACAUGGUACCGGAGACAAUAGCCGGCAAAAUAGUCGGCGGCGUGUGCUCGCUCAGCGGUGUGCUCGUGAUAGCCCUGCCCGUGCCCGUCAUCGUCAGCAAC